Molecule: non-coding RNA, 418 nt
Organism: Jatropha curcas
Lineage: Eukaryota; Viridiplantae; Streptophyta; Magnoliopsida; Malpighiales; Euphorbiaceae
Source: RefSeq, a predicted model, not a curated record
UGGAAAUAUUGACAAUAUUAAGUUGAGGUACUCUAGUGAGUAGGCUCCAGGAGGGCCACGUCACUGUGAACUGCUUCAAGAAGUUAAUAGCACGCGAAAGGAAGGAAAAGUGAUGGCCUUAUGAGAAAAUGAUAUCUCAGUGUUGCGGUGGUGUUACUGCAACUAGAACUAAGUAGCAAGUAUCUGGGCUGAAAGGGAUCUCAAGAUGAACAAGUGUGAUAGUUGAUUAGUUGAAUUAUUUAUGUUAAACCUACUUAACUUAGCUGAAGUAUGGUAGCAAUAUAUGUUAAGUAUGCUUAAUUUAGUUCUUAACUGAAAGGAUUGGUAGGAACAGUUGUUUAAUUUUUUCUUUUCUGGAAGCUGAAUUAUAUAUAACAAGUCAUUUGUGUUAAUGUAUGAAUACAUGUACUUUUCCCAA